RNAcentral lists this ribosomal RNA (224 nucleotides) under uncultured bacterium. RNAcentral describes it as "partial 16S ribosomal RNA". It matches the Rfam family "Bacterial small subunit ribosomal RNA", at positions 524 to 748 of the family's 1533-position model. The record is from RNAcentral.
CACGUAGGGCGCAAGCGUUGUCCGGAAUUAUUGGGCGUAAAGAGCUCGUAGGUGGUCUGCUACGUCCGCUGUGAAAAUCCAAGGCUUAACCUUGGGCUUGCAGUGGAUACGGGCAGACUAGAGGUAGGUAGGGGAGAAUGGAAUUCCCGGUGUAGCGGUGAAAUGCGCAGAUAUCGGGAGGAACACCGGUGGCGAAGGCGGUUCUCUGGGCCUUACCUGGACGA